This 1933-nucleotide small RNA is filed under the name Pan troglodytes (chimpanzee). Its description in RNAcentral is "processed transcript". Lineage: Eukaryota; Metazoa; Chordata; Mammalia; Primates; Hominidae. The record is from RNAcentral.
CCUGGAGGGGCCACCUAAGCUCUGCACAAGGAAUUCAUGCAACUCUGUAGAGACGGGGUUUCACCAUGUUGGCCAGGCUGGUCUCCAACUCCUGGCCUGAAGUCUUCCGCCCACCUCGGCCUCCCAAAGUGCUGGGAUUACAGGCGCGAGCUACCACCCCCGGCCCCCCAAAAGCUUUUGUAUACAUUUUCUAAAUCAGACAAAAUAUAAGGAAAAAGAAUAUAGACAAGCAUGGAAAGUGAAGACACAACGAAAACACAAGAAAUGAAGACUGACCUGAACUUAUUAUUGGAGUGUCUAAAGUAUCAAAUGGAUAAUGCUUUUUCACAAAAGGAAGCUUUGGUCACUAUUCAUUCAAUUUGUCAACAAAACAGUAAUGCAAGUGUUUAUUUUCGGGAAAUUGGUGGUUUGAUGUUUGUAAAAAAUCUUGCGAAGUCAAGUGAACAUAGCAUGGUAAAAGAAGCAGCCUUAUAUACAUUAGGAGCUAUUGCAGAGAAAAAUGUUUACUGUCAGCAGACUUUGUGUACUUCAGAGUUGUUUGAAGACUUAACUUGGUUCUUAUCUAAUGAUUCAAACAUAAAUUUGAAAAGAAUGUCUGUUUAUGUUAUUUUGGUUCUGGUUUCAAAUAAUAGGACCGGACAAACACUCGUGAGAGAAACAGGUUGUAUUACAGUUCUGUCACGGUUAUUCAGGACAGUUAUUUCAAAACAUGAGUUGGAUUUGUCAGAUAAAAAUGUUUUCCAGAGUUAUCAGUUGUGGUCUUCAGUGUGUAGUACUCUGUGUGUCUGUGUCAACAAUCCUCAAAAUGAUGAGAAUCAAAUGUUUUGCUGUUCCCUUUUUCCACAUGCUAAUGAAUGGCUAAAAAAUUGCAUGACACCUGAGAUAAUUCGCCCUAUUUGCUCAUUUAUUGGACUCACUCUUGCAAAUAACACAUAUGUUCAGAAAUACUUCGUAUCUGUGGGUGGACUGGAUGUAUUGUCUCAAGUUCUCAUGCAACUGGAAUCUGAUUCACACGAGACUCUUUCCAGUGCUAAACUUGCAGUGGUUGUGACAAAGACUGUGGAUGCAUGCAUUGCUGAUAAUCCUACUUUUGGGAUAGUACUCUCCAAGUACCACAUUGUUUCAAAACUUCUGGCAUUACUGCUUCAUGAAAGUCUGGAUUCAGGAGAAAAAUUUAGCAUCAUGCUUACUCUUGGUCAUUGCACAGAGGAUUGUGAGGAAAAUCAGUAUGACCUUUUUAAAAACAAUGGGCUUCCACUCAUGAUUCAAGCCUUAACUGAAUCGCAGAAUGAGGAACUGAACAAAGCUGCCACAUUUGUGCUUCACAACUGCAAAAAAAUUACUGAGAAAUUAUCUCUAAGUCUAGGAGAAUAUCCUUUUGAUGAAAAUGAAACACAGCAAUUAAAGGACAUAAGUGUGAAGGAGAAUAAUCUUGAAGAGCACUGGAGGAAAGCAAAGGAAAUUCUACACAGAAUAGAACAGCUUGAAAGAGAAGGAAAUGAGGAAGAAAUACAAAGAGAAAACUAUCAGGAUAAUAUUUCAUCUAUGAACAUAAGUAUUCAGAAUACAUGGAAACAUCUCCAUGCAGAUCAGAUUGGUCGAGGUAGCAAAGCAGAAGAUGAGGAUAAAAGCCAUUCUAGACAGUUACAGAGUUAUAAGUCCCAUGGAGUCAUGUCUAAAGCAUGUACAAAUGAUGACCAAAUGAAGACACCGUUAAAGAGCACAAAUCCAGUCCAUGCUUGUUACAGGGAGAGUGAGCAAAAUAAGACUUUAUAUAAAGCCAAGUCAAGCUGCAAUCAAAACUUACAUGAAGAAACUACUUUUGAAAAGAAUUUUGUUUCUCAAUCAAGAUCCAUUUACAUUAUGUUCAGAUAUAAUAAAUAAAGAAGUAGUCAGUUUUCUAGCAACUCCCAGUUGUUCCAAAAUGUUGACG